This 1127-nucleotide unclassified non-coding RNA is filed under the name Hevea brasiliensis (rubber tree). The record is from RNAcentral. Lineage: Eukaryota; Viridiplantae; Streptophyta; Magnoliopsida; Malpighiales; Euphorbiaceae.
GACAAGGGUCAAUGUCUAACCCUCCACCAACAUGGUGGAUUUUAAACCCCCCAAAAAUGGAAUCUUGCUAAAAAAUUAUUCAAUCUACCAAUACAAAGAGCUUAAGAUAUUACAUGCCUAAUCGUUUGCAUAGAUCGUCCACGAGCUUACCUCUGGGAAUCUCAUAGUCAAUAGCUGCAACAACAUCCUUCAAUUUUACAACUCCUUCACUAAGUUCGCGUUCACCAACAAGUACCAUCCAAGGGAUCCUCGAAUCUCUGGCCCGAUCAAUGUGCUUCAUCACUUUUUUAUGGAUCAUGAAUUCUGCUUUCACUUUAGCAUUCCACAAUUCACCAGCUAGCUCAGCAGCCAAAGCACUGUCAUCACCAAGAAUGCUAACGAGAACUUGAGUUUCAGUGGCUCGAAUUUCCUGAUUUUUGUCUUUCUGAAGCUGUUCCAUGAUUGCAAAUACUCUCUCUAUUCCCAGACUGAUCCCAACAGAAGGAACCUGCCGUGUCCCAAACAUCCCUAUCAGGUUGUCAUAACGUCCACCAGCAGCAAUCGAACCAACCUGAGCAGCUCCUUUGAAGACUGCUUCAAAUAUGACUCCUGUGUAGUAAUCAAGGCCUCUUGCAAGGCUCAAGUCAAAAACCACUCUGUCAAUACACUUGGACUUCUCCAGAGCUUUAAACAUAAUCUCUAAUUCAUCCAAAGCAAGUGAAGAUUCAUUGUUCUCCAGAAAACUGCGUUCUUGCUUGAGCUUAGAUAAUAAUUCCACUGGAGGUCCCCUCCAUUUGACAAAUGUACCAAUUCUGUCUGAUAUCUCAUUACUUAAGCCUUUCUCAUCCACCAUUUCUUUUUUUAUCUGCUCAAAGGAUUGUUUAUCUAGCUUGUCAAUGCUUGAACAAAUGGUUCUGAACUUCUCUUGUGGCACCCCACAUAUAGCCAACAUACCAUCAAGCAGCUUUCUGUGAUUAAGCUUUACCUCAUACUCUCCAAUAUCAAGCUCAUCUAACAACUCGGUCAAAAUCUUUAUGACCUCAAAAUCAGGCAUCAUCUUCUCAAAUUGACCAGCUAUGUCAAAAUCACACUGGUAAAAUUCACGAUAUCUACCCUUAGAUGGAUUAUCUCUUCUGUACACCUUAGCU